CCAUCACAACCACCCCUGCCACCACCAGAAUAUAAGCAGUAGCUGAAUAUGUGCUAGAAGAGAGCAGGCUGAUGUAGUCGCUCUUCUUAGCCAGGGUCCAGGCGCCCACUGCCAUCACAGCCCCGCCAGCCAGCCAGAAAAAAAAGUUGAAGAUGAAAAGCAGGUACUUGAGACAGAUAGUCCCACAUGUUUCUUUCUUCUCAGUAUAUUCACGCAUCUUUCUGGCUUAGCAAAUUCCUUUCCCUACCAAAGCACUCCACAGAACCACUGCAGAUCUUCAGCACUCUUCAAAAGCUUCCUUUUCACCUCUGGCUCCGGUCCCCUGCUGGAUCUGGGAAAGCAGACAGCCCUCAGCGGCAGCGCGCCGGACCGCCGUGCUCCGCGCCGCCUCGCGCCCCGACCUGCCGAGCGGAGAGGGAGGGAGGGA
Molecule: long non-coding RNA, 427 nt
Filed under: Gallus gallus (chicken)
Lineage: Eukaryota; Metazoa; Chordata; Aves; Galliformes; Phasianidae
Source: RNAcentral